AGCGUAGACGGAGCAGCAAGUCUGAUGUGAAAGGCGGGGGCUCAACCCCCGGACUGCAUUGGGAACUGUUGAUCUUGAGUACCGGAGAGGUAAGCGGAAUUCCUAGUGUAGCGGUGAAAUGCGUAGAUAUUAGGAGGAACACCAGUGGCGAAGGCGGCUUACUGGACGGUAACUGACGUUGAGGCUCGAAAGCGUGGGGAAGCAAACA
RNAcentral lists this ribosomal RNA (208 nucleotides) under uncultured bacterium. RNAcentral describes it as "partial 16S ribosomal RNA". It matches the Rfam family "Bacterial small subunit ribosomal RNA", at positions 568 to 774 of the family's 1533-position model. The record is from RNAcentral.